GAAAUAGUCAGAUGCAGCAAGAUCUGGUUCCUGUCUUGGCCACACCUCUUUGCCUGAGAGUCAUCUACUUGCAUGGACAAACAACACAGAAAACAAGCAUUUGCAUGUCAUGAGCAGAAACAAAUGUCAGAAGAAAAAUUAUUCUAGAAAGACCAGAGGUCAGAAAGUUAUUAAGUCUCUCCGCCACGUGGCCUGGCCUCUCCAUAUGGUCCCUCCCAUGGCCUCUCUGGCACCAGCCUUGUUCCGGUGCAAAGAUAGUGGGAACCACGUUCGGGACUGAACCAUGCCUUAGAUUCAGUUUGGAACCUGGUUUAACAGGUUGUGCAAGAUAAAACAGUCAUGGCUGGAGACAUACAACUGUGCAGUUCUUCAGAAAGUUGCACCACUCUGAAUAAAACUGACAGAAAGAAAUUGGGGAUAAAACAAUUCAAAAGUAGGAGACAGCAAAACUGAGAUAUGUAUCCAUUCCUAUGAAGUGGCUCCCAAGAAAUGCUGUUAACUGAGCAAUUGUUUUAGUGCUUAUUAUGUUCUUAGUUUUACUUUGGUUGUAAGUGCUUCAUUGUUUUUAUUGCCUGCUACUGGUUUUAUUAUGUACUCUUUUUAAUCAUUGUUUGAAAUUUUAUGGUUUCAGUUGUACCAUCCAGAGAACUGCAGUUAUUUGGGUAGCCUGAAAGUGUACUAAAAUAAAUAAG
Sceloporus undulatus (fence lizard) is the source of this 692-nucleotide long non-coding RNA. RefSeq lists it as uncharacterized. NCBI's taxonomy places the organism in Eukaryota, Metazoa, Chordata, Lepidosauria, Squamata, Phrynosomatidae. The transcript is spliced from 6 exons. The record is from RefSeq and is a predicted model, not a curated record.